CACCACUCACCACUUACCACCACUACCCAUCUCCACCACGCGCCUCCUCCCUUCUCUCUCUCCCCCUCCUCCAUGUUCCCUCUCUUUCUCCUUCAUCCCCUUCCCCCCUCCAUUAUCCCCCUCUUCCUCCCUUCCUCUCCCUCUCUUUCUCCUUGUUCCCUAUCCCUCCUCCCUUCCCCCUAGACCCACUCGGAGAUUGCCGCCCAACCUUCCUUCGAAUAUGGUUGCGACUAGAAGGUCAUGACUAGUGCAACCAAAAGGUCGCAGCUAGAGCUGCUGCUGGUUCUUGGGAGAGGAGAGGAGAGGGAGGAGGAAGGAGAAGGAGGAUGAGGAAGGAGAGGAGGAGCAACGGUGAGGCAAUAGUGAUGGUGGAGGAAGGAGUGGUAGAUGGUGAUGGUGAUUGGAGGAAGAAAAAAAGGUGAUACGAUUUAUUUAUAUAUUUAUUUAUUUUUUAAGUUGUAUUUAAAAUAUAAGGAGUAUUUUUUGGUGGUGUUUUUGAAGUGUGUU
Molecule: long non-coding RNA, 507 nt
Filed under: Coffea arabica (coffee)
Lineage: Eukaryota; Viridiplantae; Streptophyta; Magnoliopsida; Gentianales; Rubiaceae
Description: long non-coding RNA (CARA_LNC004248)
Source: RNAcentral